AAGUCGUAACAAGGUCUCCGUUGGUGAACCAGCGGAGGGAUCAUUACAGAGUUGCAAAACUCCCAACCACUGUAAACCUUACCCCAACUGUUGCUUCAGCGGAGGUACCUCGCAGUGCCGCGCCCUCAGGCCCGCCAGAGGACCCCUAAACUCUGUUUCUAUAUGUAACUUCUGAGUAAAACCAUAAAUAAAUCAAAACUUUCAACAAUGGAUCUCUUGGCUCUG
RNAcentral lists this unclassified non-coding RNA (225 nucleotides) under Fusarium sp. Its description in RNAcentral is "partial internal transcribed spacer region". The stretch from base 1 to 46 matches the Rfam family "Eukaryotic small subunit ribosomal RNA", at positions 1786 to 1831 of the family's 1831-position model. Lineage: Eukaryota; Fungi; Ascomycota; Sordariomycetes; Hypocreales; Nectriaceae. The record is from RNAcentral.